This 460-nucleotide ribosomal RNA is filed under the name uncultured bacterium. RNAcentral describes it as "partial 16S ribosomal RNA". It matches the Rfam family "Bacterial small subunit ribosomal RNA", at positions 338 to 795 of the family's 1533-position model. The record is from RNAcentral.
CCUACGGGAGGCAGCAGUGAGGAAUAUUGGUCAAUGGCCGGAAGGCUGAACCAGCCAUGCCGCGUGAAGGUCAGUGCCCUAUGGGCGUUAAACUUCUUUUGUGCGGGAGCAAUAAUGGUCACGUGUGGCCAGACGAGAGUACCGUACGAAUAAGCAUCGGCUAACUCCGUGCCAGCAGCCGCGGUAAUACGGGGGAUGCAAGCGUUCUCCGGAUUUAUUGGGUUUAAAGGGUGCGUAGGCUGUGAGGUAAGUCAGCGGUGAAAUGCCGCCGCUCAACGGGGUGAAGUGCCAUUGAUACUGGCUGGCUGGAAUGCGGAUGCCGUGGGAGGAAUGUGUGGUGUAGCGGUGAAAUGCAUAGGUAUCACACAGAACACCGAUUGCGAAGGCAUCUCACGAAUCCGCGAUUGACGCUGAUGCACGAAAGCGUGGGUAUCAAACAGGAUUAGAGACCUGAGUAGUC